GGGUCCGGGCGCAGGGGAAAGUUUCUCGGCGCGCAGCGGCGGCUCCCGGGAGCCCGAGUUCCCCACCCGGGAAGGGCUCACGCUGCAGCGCCUCCCGCAGCCACCCGGCCUGAGCUGCCGCAGCCUCGCCGGGCCCGGCUGGGAGCCGGGGCAAGGCCCGGGCCGCGCACGCAGCACUUCUCUGCUCCAGCCCGGCCAGAGGGGGAGCCCGCGGCUGGGAUGCAGCCUGGCGCGGCUUUAAGGAGGCCACCAAACUGACUUUCAUGUCAUGUGAUAAUGUGGAGACCACCUGGGGAGAGGAAAAAGAGGGCGGCCCAGAGAAACAUUACGCAGAACCAUCAAGAAAGACGCCACCUCCAUCAACAUGACACUCAGAAGCCGGCACAGACCAGCACAAGGCUGAAAUAAAAGGCGGAAAUUGGUGGACCCCUGAUGGUCCUGAGAGUGCAGGAGGAGAGCGAGAGAAAGAAGAGUGUAAGAAGGCACCACCUCCAGCAAACCAACCACCACGUCAGGACCACGCAGAGUUAAUUUUGACUCCGGAAGAAGACGUAGAGGAACAGCCUGCAAUACCUUACCAUCUACGCGCUCGUAAGGGUUGCCAGAAGCAGACGAGGACCUAAAGCAAGGCUCAAAAAGAAGCAGUAGUGAGCCUAGCACCUGCU
Non-coding RNA from Chrysemys picta bellii (western painted turtle), 665 nucleotides. The record is from RefSeq and is a predicted model, not a curated record. NCBI's taxonomy places the organism in Eukaryota, Metazoa, Chordata, Testudines, Emydidae.